This 253-nucleotide ribosomal RNA is filed under the name uncultured bacterium. RNAcentral describes it as "partial 16S ribosomal RNA". It matches the Rfam family "Bacterial small subunit ribosomal RNA", at positions 524 to 776 of the family's 1533-position model. The record is from RNAcentral.
UACGUAGGUGACCAGCGUUGUCCGGAAUCACUGGGCUUAAAGGGCGCGUAGGCGGUCGACCAAGUCCGGGGUGAAAUCUUUCGGCUUAACCGGAAAAGUGCCUUGGAUACUGGCCGGCUGGAGGGAGGUAGGGGCAGGUGGAACUUCCAGUGGAGCGGUGAAAUGCGUUGAUAUUGGAAGGAACGCCGGUGGCGAAAGCGACCUGCUGGACCUCUUCUGACGCUGAGGCGCGAAAGCUAGGGGAGCAAACGGG